CGCAGCCGCGGUAAUUCCAGCUCCAAUAGCGUAUAUUAAAGUUGUUGCAGUUAAAAAGCUCGUAGUUGAAUUUCGGGGUUAGUAGGUUGGUCAUGCCCCCGGUAUGUACUGAUCUCACUGAUUCCUCCUUCCUUAUGAACCGUAAUGCCAUUAAUUUGGUGUUGCGGGGAAUUUGGACUGUUACUUUGAAAAAUUAGAGUGUUUAAAGCAAGCUAACGCUUGAAUACAUUAGCAUGGAAUAAUGAAAUAGGACGUUCGAUCUUAUUUUGUUGGUUUCUAGGAUUGACGUAAUGAUUAAUAGGGAUAGUUGGGGGCACUAGUAUUCAAUUGUCAGAGGUGAAAUUCUUGGAUUUAUUGAAGACUAACUACUGCGAAAGCAUUUGCCAAGGAUGUUUCAUUAAUCAAGAACGAAAGUUAGGGGAUCGAAGAC
RNAcentral lists this small RNA (430 nucleotides) under uncultured Glomus. Its description in RNAcentral is "SSU rRNA". It matches the Rfam family "Eukaryotic small subunit ribosomal RNA", at positions 569 to 1005 of the family's 1831-position model. Lineage: Eukaryota; Fungi; Glomeromycota; Glomeromycetes; Glomerales; Glomeraceae. The record is from RNAcentral.